Molecule: long non-coding RNA, 1215 nt
Filed under: Homo sapiens (human)
Lineage: Eukaryota; Metazoa; Chordata; Mammalia; Primates; Hominidae
Description: non-protein coding lnc-SEPT7-1:10
Source: RNAcentral
GUCUCAUGAGAACAUAAUUUUUGUUGAUGAUUUGUCCAAAGUUUCUAUCAAUCCAUCUUAGCAGCAGAGCCAAGUGUUAGAGUUAUUGCUGCCUGAGUUAUAACAGCUGCCCUGGGAAUCUUGUCUGAACAACAAGUUAACUGCUGUUCCCAGUUAUAUCUGGUCUUUCCCACCCCCAAACAUACACAAAAGAUUUUUGUCAUUCUUGGCACUGGACAACAGAAGUGAUAAGACAUGCCAGCAGAACUCUAAAGGCAGAAUGUCCUUCCACCUGUUUUAUGCUGUAAGACAAACUUCCAAGUGCGAGGCAGUGUGGAGGGCUGUUGCCUUGAAUGGCAGCUGAAUGCACCAGCGGGAUCCUUGGCAGCAAUGCCCAGGCACUGAAGUCGGGCAUUCAGGAGAGCUAAAUGGAGAAAAGAAACUUGAGCAAACUGCUUCCUGGAACACUGAGAACCUGAAUGGGAAAUUAAGAAGAACCAGAUUCUUUCUAUUCUUCCACCAGCCAAGCAACUUCAGGAUGGGGGAAUCAAGCAAAACCAUGGUGAAGAGAUUCAUUUAAAGAGGACAAGUGAUUUAUUCUACAUCUCAGGAGACAGUUCCUUAAGGUGAUGAGCACAAAAGGAUCCAUCUUAUACAGUGCUUGCCAGCUUCCAUAAUACUACUCACCACGAUGUUGAAAUCACCUGUUCCAGAACCAGUCCUGUCCUUUGACAAGAAGGAUUUAAUUAUCAGUAGUGGUGGGGACUGGCUGGAGAGAGGAAAAACACUUCAAGGACUCUGCCACCUUUCGUAGAUGGAGAGUGCAAAGUUUGUACCAUGGAACUCCUUCUCUAACAGUUACUCUGUGGCAGUGCCUAUUUCAAACCUCCCUUAACUUCUGAUUGUAUAGAUGUUUGUUUCAUUUGUUCAUCUGUUUGUUCACUUAGUCAGAGAUGUUUUAAGCCUUAAGAGAAAUAGUGGACUAGAAAAUGCCUUGGAAAAGUACAAAGUUCAAUCCAAGUAAACUGUUUUUAAACUAGGAAUUUAUGAAGCCUAAAAUAUAAAAUGUAUAUACAUGGAUAUGCUCUGAAGUGAGGUAGAGGGGUAGAAAUCAACAUUGUGAUAUUGUACUAUAGUUUUGCAAGAUGUUACCAUUGGGGGAAAAUGUUUGAAGGGUAUACGGGAUAUCUCUGCCUUAUUUCUUACAACUGCAUGUGAAUCUACAGUUAUCUCAAA